This 91-nucleotide ribosomal RNA is filed under the name Paraclostridium sordellii. Lineage: Bacteria; Bacillati; Bacillota; Clostridia; Peptostreptococcales; Peptostreptococcaceae. The record is from RNAcentral.
CCUGUUCCCAUUCCGAACACAGAAGUUAAGCUCUUUAGCGCCGAUGGUACUUGGUGGGAAGCUGCCUGGGAGAGUAGGACGUAGCCACGUA